This 590-nucleotide ribosomal RNA is filed under the name Isoodon auratus auratus. Its description in RNAcentral is "partial 16S ribosomal RNA". It matches the Rfam family "Bacterial large subunit ribosomal RNA", at positions 1984 to 2814 of the family's 2925-position model. The record is from RNAcentral. Lineage: Eukaryota; Metazoa; Chordata; Mammalia; Peramelemorphia; Peramelidae.
AGACUUGUAUGAAUGGCAUAACGAGGGUUUGACUGUCUCUUAUUCUCAAUCAGUGAAAUUGACCUCCCCGUGCAGAGGCGGGGAUUUAUAUACAAGACGAGAAGACCCUGUGGAGCUUAAGACUAAUAAAUUAAUUCAACUUAUUACUAAAUCCAAGGAAACAAUAUAACGAAACAUAAUUUAUAGUCUUUGGUUGGGGUGACCUCGGAGCACAAAAUAACCUCCGAAUGACAUAACUAAGAUUAACAAAUCUAAGUGUAAUAAUACCAGUAAUUGACCCAUAUUUUGAUCAACGGACCAAGUUACCCCAGGGAUAACAGCGCAAUCCUAUUUAAGAGCCCAUAUCGACAAUUAGGGUUUACGACCUCGAUGUUGGAUCAGGACAUCCAAAUGGUGCAACCGCUAUUAAUGGUUCGUUUGUUCAACGAUUAAAGUCCUACGUGAUCUGAGUUCAGACCGGAGAAAUCCAGGUCGGUUUCUAUCUGUAUAUUUAUUUCUCCCAGUACGAAAGGACAAGAGAAAUAAGGCCAACAUUAACAGAUGAGCCUUAGAAUUAAUAUAUGAAAUUAUCUUAAUAUCCUUAUUCAAUA